Molecule: ribosomal RNA, 54 nt
Filed under: Cookeina speciosa
Lineage: Eukaryota; Fungi; Ascomycota; Pezizomycetes; Pezizales; Sarcoscyphaceae
Description: partial 25S ribosomal RNA
Source: RNAcentral
AUUGACCUCGGAUCAGGUAGGGAUACCCGCUGAACUUAAGCAUAUCAAUAAAUC